UCCAGACUCCUACGGGAGGCAGCAGUGAGGAAUAUUGGUCAAUGGGCUUACGCCUGAACCAGCCAAGUCGCGUGAGGGAAGACUGCCCUAUGGGUUGUAAACCUCUUUUGUCAGGGAGCAACGCCGGCUACGUGUAGCCGGACUGAGAGUACCUGAAGAAAAAGCAUCGGCUAACUCCGUGCCAGCAGCCGCGGUAAUACGGAGGAUGCGAGCGUUAUCCGGAUUUAUUGGGUUUAAAGGGUGCGCAGGCGGAAUGUUAAGUCAGCGGUAAAAUUUCGGGGCUCAACCCCGUCGUGCCGUUGAAACUGGCGUUCUUGAGUGAGCGAGAAGUAUGCGGAAUGCGUGGUGUAGCGGUGAAAUGCAUAGAUAUCACGCAGAACUCCGAUUGCGAAGGCAGCAUACCGGCGCUCAACUGACGCUCAUGCACGAAAGCGUGGGUAUCGAACAGGAUUAGAUACCCUGGUAC
Molecule: ribosomal RNA, 466 nt
Filed under: uncultured bacterium
Lineage: Bacteria
Description: bacterial SSU rRNA
Rfam family: Bacterial small subunit ribosomal RNA
Source: RNAcentral